Molecule: ribosomal RNA, 253 nt
Filed under: uncultured bacterium
Lineage: Bacteria
Description: partial 16S ribosomal RNA
Rfam family: Bacterial small subunit ribosomal RNA
Source: RNAcentral
UACGGAGGGUGCAAGCGUUAAUCGGAAUUACUGGGCGUAAAGCGUGUGUAGGCGGAAUGGUAAGUACCUUGUGAAAUCCCACAGCUCAACUGUGGAACUGCUCGGUAUACUGCUUUUCUUGAGCCACUUAGGGGCUGUCGGAACAAACGGUGGAGCGGUGAAAUGCGUAGAUAUCAGGAGGAACACCCGUGGCGAAGGCAGCUCGCUGGGACGUGACUGACGCUGAGACGCGAAAGCGUGGGGAGCAAACAGG